CAGAGCUAGGGUCUCCCCCCUCCCGGGGGGAACAAAGGCCCGAACCUCCCACCCUUUGUUGUCGAACAAAAGUUUGUUGCUUUGGCGGGACCGUCCCCCCUCGGGGGGGCUGCCGGGCCCCACGGCCGGGCAUGCGCCCGCCAGAGGUAAAAACCACAACUCUUCUCGUUUUAACGGUCUGAGCAAGUAAUUGAUAAAUCAAAUCA
RNAcentral lists this unclassified non-coding RNA (206 nucleotides) under uncultured fungus. RNAcentral's name for it is "sequence contains ITS1". The record is from RNAcentral. Lineage: Eukaryota; Fungi.